RNAcentral lists this transfer RNA (70 nucleotides) under Sphaerodactylus townsendi. RNAcentral's name for it is "tRNA-Ala". Lineage: Eukaryota; Metazoa; Chordata; Lepidosauria; Squamata; Sphaerodactylidae. The record is from RNAcentral.
GGCUGCGGCUCAGUGGUAGAACAUCUGCUCGGCAUGCAGAAGGUGCUGGGUUCAAUCCCCGGCAAAGUCU